RNAcentral lists this ribosomal RNA (115 nucleotides) under Danio rerio (zebrafish). Lineage: Eukaryota; Metazoa; Chordata; Actinopteri; Cypriniformes; Danionidae. The record is from RNAcentral.
GCCGGCAGCUAGCUCUCUGCAACUCUCACAUUGUUGCCCACUGAAGCUAAGCAGGGCUGCGCCCGGUCAGUACCUGGAUGGGAGACCACAUGGGAAAGCUAGGUUGCUGCCAGAA